Galleria mellonella (greater wax moth) is the source of this 1051-nucleotide long non-coding RNA. RefSeq lists it as uncharacterized. Lineage: Eukaryota; Metazoa; Arthropoda; Insecta; Lepidoptera; Pyralidae. The transcript is spliced from 2 exons. The record is from RefSeq and is a predicted model, not a curated record.
CAAUCCCUUCUCCCCCAUAAUCUUAUUAUAUUAUUUCGUGACAAUAAUUUCUAUGCUACACUAAAUUACAAUACCGCUCAAGUAACCACUUAUCUCAAUUUUCCCUUCUAAGAUUUAAGAAAUAAUACGCAUGAAAUUAAGAAAAACAACUUACAAGUGUAUACUAUAUACUAUAUACAUACACUAGCUCUUUAUCAGAAAUUCCGUUAAAUAUUAAAUAUGAAUAAACCUAAAUUUCAAUUGAUACUAGUUUUGAGAUACGCUGUUAAGUAUUAGUAGCUCUUAGUGAUGAAAGCUAGUAUACCAACGCGUGUUACCAUUAAAAAAGUAUGGGAUCGAAACAAGCCGUAUGAAAAAGCUUCAAGUGGCUCAGCCAGUAAGGAGGAACGUUCAGAAUUUCCCUGUGUGAUAAAAACUGAAAACUAUCGGCCAAAAGAAAAUAGUGGCCAAUAUGAACCGAAAGGAUUGAGCAUGAAGUUAGCCGUAAAGUUCAAAGAACUGCUGAAUACUGGGGAUGAAGAAUUCUUUAAUUUUGACCCCUCACAAGCAAACGGACUAUAAAGCAAACUACUCACUAGAUGGAGCAACUAAUGAUGCCCACAAAUAAGUUACAAGUAUAUGAAGAAUUAAUGAAUUACAAAUAAUCAACAAAAAAACUCUGGAAAAUUCCAUAUAAUAUUACGGGUCACCGCAAUAGAACAAUACAAGUUCGCAAGGCGUGACCGCGAGGCGUGACUAUACACCAUGGCAUGGUUCAAGCGGUACCAGUGCGAUAUGCUACUCGACAUUUGAACGUGCAAAUAUAACCAUACACCGCAUAAUGCGUGGAAACGCUAUUUUUGUCCCAAUAACAGUAAAACGACGGCGAAAACCGACAAUGUUGGUGUACCGAUUUGGACCUGCACUAAGGAUGUAAUGUUUAAACACAACGUGAAGUGAAGUAGUGACGUAAUCGUGUCUAUCGUAUUUAUUAACUAAAGGCAAUAAAUAUUUAUGUUCGUCUUUCUUCUUGAUUUAACGACUCUGAUAAAAUAUACUUUAAAACUGUAAA